CGGGCUGGCCGGGCGACCGCGCCACACCGGGCUCACGCCGGGUGUGUCGAGGAAGGUCCGGGCUCCGCAGGGCAAGGUGGUGGGUAACGCCCACCCGGGGCAACCCGCGGGACAGUGCCACAGAGAGCAGACCGCCACAUCGGUUCGCCGAUGCGGUCAGGGUGAAAGGGCGGUGUAAGAGACCACCAGCGGCCGGGGCGACCCGGCCGGCUCGGCAAACCCCACCUGGAGCAAGGCCAAGAAGCCACCGAGAGGUGGUGCGCGCACGUUCGAGGGCUGCUCGCCCGAGUGCGCGGGUAGGCCGCUCGAGCCCAUCGGCAACGGUGGGCCUAGAUGGAUGGUCGCCCUUGCUGCCGGCUACGUGCAGCGAGACAGAACCCGGCCUAUUGGCCAGCCCGUCCC
RNAcentral lists this RNase P RNA (402 nucleotides) under Nocardioides acrostichi. RNAcentral's name for it is "Bacterial RNase P class A". It matches the Rfam family "Bacterial RNase P class A". Rfam says of the family: Ribonuclease P (RNase P) is a ubiquitous endoribonuclease, found in archaea, bacteria and eukarya as well as chloroplasts and mitochondria. The record is from Rfam by way of RNAcentral. Lineage: Bacteria; Bacillati; Actinomycetota; Actinomycetes; Propionibacteriales; Nocardioidaceae.